This 795-nucleotide long non-coding RNA is filed under the name Harpegnathos saltator (Jerdon's jumping ant). Its description in RNAcentral is "uncharacterized LOC112588182". The record is from RNAcentral. Lineage: Eukaryota; Metazoa; Arthropoda; Insecta; Hymenoptera; Formicidae.
GCACCCUGUAUAUGCCGAGAAUCUUUGGUUAAGACGAAUUAAUAAAUAACAUAGUUUCGUGAUUGAUAAGACCGAUUUAGAUAUGAUUGCAAUUCUCUUUAAAUCUUCAAUCAUUUUAAUCAGAUGCCGAUAUUUCUAAGCUGUCUUCGGUAUCGACUGCAGAUAGCUUCAUAUUUGCAUCGGUACAAAAGUUAGAAUAUUUGUGUUCGAAUAUACGACGUUUGGCUGUAGUUAUAGAUGAAAAUCGUCAGCUAAAAGUAACUGGACAUUCUAUCAUUAUAAAAAUUAAUCAUUCAUAAACACACACAGUGAGAAUUAUGCUUAUAUUGAUUUAGAACCUAUAAUCAGAACGGUUGUCUGUAGACAGCAAUGACUGUCUACAAUUCUAAUUUUCAGAUAAGAUCUCACAGUUCAGUACGACAUAUCUGUAGUAAACGUGGCUUCUCUUUCUAUAUCGAAUCGUAUUACUUCCAAUGUAGCGACGAGAUGGAGAGAUUCCUUAGACAUAUAUAAAAAGAGAAAUGUUUCGUUGAGAAAGAAGAGAGAGCAGAUAUUUAUUAACUCUGCAGAUGCGGAAGCAAAAUCUUUACCGGUGCCGAUUAGUCAUCCAUCCAUUGGACAUAGGGAUUAUUAAAUAUUGACGUAGACUUUAUCUCUUCAAUCAUGAGCCAGUUCAUCGAAUAGGAAGGUUCGCACAACUAGAUUAAGUGAACACAACUUUGUCAACAUCAGGUUGAAGAUGACGAAAGCGAGAGGCGAGGAUCGACAAAAUGCAGUUGUUCAGUUUGAUAAUAA